This 750-nucleotide long non-coding RNA is filed under the name Coffea arabica (coffee). RNAcentral's name for it is "long non-coding RNA (CARA_LNC001136)". Lineage: Eukaryota; Viridiplantae; Streptophyta; Magnoliopsida; Gentianales; Rubiaceae. The record is from RNAcentral.
UUUUUUUUUUUUUUUUUUUGGUGCUCUCUAUAUUUGCAGAGUUUGAUUUGCACUCCCAUUGGGCUUGAGAUUAUGGAAGAUUUGUCAGGAAGAAGAAUGGAGGUUUUAUAUUUUGGCAAGAAAAGUUGAGCUUUGAUUAAUUCCUAACCCAUGACACCACCGAAACGGCUUAGCACUAUUGAUUGUGAGAUUGGCUUGCGAGCGUAGGUUAGGCGGGCGACGAUUUGAACUCGAACGAUGACUUCUUGGGAUUAUUAAGUCGACAGGCCAUUGAUAUUAAUCCGCGACAACUUCCCAACCAUGAGCUUCAAACAAUCAGGAAAUUUUCUAGCCCCUUCCAUUUCCAUACCAUCCUAAUAGCAGUCAGGGAAGGGAAACUGCCACUCAACAAACACAUAUUGUCAAGCCUGAAAAGAAAUCAUACAUUUCAAUGUAUGAAAGAUACUUUUGGAUUUGUAUCCUAAUUUCGGCAAAAUAUUCUGAAAAUCAAUAACCAAAAAGAGGGGAAAUGAGUAGCCGACUGGGAUGGCUAAAUAUUAUGUGACUCAUAAUCUACAUAUCCAAAAGCAGAAAAAACACGUUGGCGAUACAAAUGACUAUUUCAGUUCAAAGUAUAAAGCUUGAGCUGAAAAUCAUUAAUCUACUGCUACGUAAACUAAUUCCCACCAAAUUUCACAUAACAUAAUACAUGCCAGUUGUAAGAACACUAAGGGAACUUCUCAGUCCAGCAUUCCUUGAAUUGUCAAAUAA